Molecule: unclassified non-coding RNA, 342 nt
Filed under: soil metagenome
Description: partial contains 5.8S ribosomal RNA, internal transcribed spacer 2, and large subunit ribosomal RNA
Rfam family: 5.8S ribosomal RNA (bases 1-120)
Source: RNAcentral
GAUGAAGAACGUAGCGAAAUGCGAUACGUAGUGUGAAUUGCAGAAUUCAGUGAAUCAUCGAAUCUUUGAACGCACAUUGCACCUCUCGGUAUUCCGGGAGGUAUGCCUGUUCGAGCGUCAUUUACACCCUCAAGCCUAGCUUGGUGUUGGGCGUCUGUCCCGCCGUUUUCGCGCGCGGACUCGCCUCAAAGUCAUUGGCGGCGGUCGUGCCGGCCCCCUCGCGCAGCACAUUUGCGCUUCUCGGAGGCCCGGCGGAUCCGCGCUCCAGCAAGACCUUUCACGACUUGACCUCGGAUCAGGUAGGGAUACCCGCUGAACUUAAGCAUAUCAAUAAGCGGAGGA